RNAcentral lists this unclassified non-coding RNA (245 nucleotides) under uncultured Scytinopogon. RNAcentral describes it as "sequence contains ITS1". The record is from RNAcentral. Lineage: Eukaryota; Fungi; Basidiomycota; Agaricomycetes; Agaricales; Clavariaceae.
ACGAAUUCGAAACCCCGACGGGGCGCGUCCGUACGUCCUCCCCCUCACGGGCCACAAGGCCCAUCAGAGGGAGUCCCCGACCCCCGUCCAACCUUUGCAAACCCACGUGCACUUUUGCGGUGGAGGGCGCUCACUCCCCCCCAUCGUUUUUCGACCGGGAGGGGGAGAGUUCCCAAAGCCCGCUUUCAAACACUCCAAUGUCGAACGAAUGUGCAGCGGCCCGCGUGUCGCCUAAUGAAAUGUAA